GGAUGUGAUAUCCAGCUGCUGUAACAUCUGUUACCUCAUUGAUCACCAGGUUUGAUUUGGCUGAUCUGGCUUGGUAGGCAGGUGUCCACCUCCUCCUUUACCACGCC
This 107-nucleotide small nuclear RNA is filed under the name Neotoma lepida (desert woodrat). RNAcentral describes it as "7SK RNA". It matches the Rfam family "7SK RNA", at positions 1 to 108 of the family's 331-position model. Rfam says of the family: 7SK was discovered as an abundant small nuclear RNA in the mid-70s but a possible function has only recently been suggested. Two independent studies have found that 7SK RNA binds the CDK9/cyclin T complex (known as elongation factor P-TEFb). P-TEFb activates transcription by phosphorylating the C-terminal domain of RNA polymerase II. Lineage: Eukaryota; Metazoa; Chordata; Mammalia; Rodentia; Cricetidae. The record is from Rfam by way of RNAcentral.